RNAcentral lists this ribosomal RNA (383 nucleotides) under uncultured eukaryote. Its description in RNAcentral is "partial 18S ribosomal RNA". It matches the Rfam family "Eukaryotic small subunit ribosomal RNA", at positions 592 to 976 of the family's 1831-position model. The record is from RNAcentral.
CAAGGGCGUAUAUUAAUGUUGUUGCAGUUAAAAAGCUCGUAGUUGGAUUUCUGGUGGGAGCGAUUGGUCUGCCCCGCGAGGGGUAUGUUACCGGUUCGUAUCCGGCCCUAUUCGGGUUGAUCGUGGCUGGCAUUAAUUUGUCGGUGCGGGAGGCCCGCCGUUUACUUUGAAAAAAUUAGAGUGUUCAAAGCAGGCCUACGCUUGAAUACAUUAGCAUGGAAUAAUGGAAUAGGACUUUGGUGCUAUUUUGUUGGUUUAUGGGACCGAAGUAAUGAUUAACAGGGACAGUUGGGGCCGUUUAUAUUUCGUUGUCAGAGGUGAAAUUCUUGGAUUUACGAAAGAUAAACUUCUGCGAAAGCAUUCGGCAAGGAUGUUUUCAUUGA